This is a long non-coding RNA of Pecten maximus, 387 nucleotides long. RefSeq lists it as uncharacterized. The transcript is spliced from 3 exons. The record is from RefSeq and is a predicted model, not a curated record. Lineage: Eukaryota; Metazoa; Mollusca; Bivalvia; Pectinida; Pectinidae.
UGAUUGGAAACCAGUGGUUAAAAGAGUUGACAGUUAACCUCGGGGGCGAUUACACCAAAUUUGCCCUACAAAUCGGGUUCAGUGAAGCACAGGUGCAACUUAUCGAAGGCAUAGGAGACCGUGUACACCAACUGUUGACAGAAAAAUGGCUUUUUACAAUCGGACGUCACACGACAAAAUAUGAACAUAUCAUCUACACAGCACUGGUGACGUUAAAUCGACAAGACCUGUUAGAUACGUACUUCAGGAAAGGUGCUCCCAGCAAGCAUUCUGAAGACAUAUGGGACGAUUUUCUCACUGAACUACAUGCUAUUGAUGUAGUGAAUCUGGAAUCAAAAGAAAAAGACAAAAAACCCGAUGUCAAGAGGAAGAAAAAGAAGAAGAACA